CGGUGUUCGCUCGGGCARCGACGCGUCUCCUCCGUCGUGAAAAAUAAGAAACGACUCUCGACAACGGAUAUCUCGGCUCUCGCAUCGAUGAAGAACGUAGCGAAAUGCGAUACUUGGUGUGAAUUGCAGAAUCCCGUGAACCAUCGAGUCUUUGAACGCAAGUUGCGCCCCAAGCCAUUAGGCCGAGGGCACGUCUGCCUGGGUGUCACGCAUCGUCGCCCCCUCUGGACCCUUAGCCCCUCGGGGCUAGGCGGGGGCAAAAAAUGGCCUCCCGUGCGCUGCCCGCUCGCGGUUGGCCUAAAACAGAGUCCUCGACGAUGACAGCGCCGNGACGAUCNUUGGUGACGCCUCGAGCGCGCCUCRUCCUCGGUCGCGUGCRUUUUCGUUCCGUCGGACUCAUCGAGAGACCCUUCUAGCGUCGCACGAUCGAUGCCCGCAUCGUGACCCCAGGUCAGGCGGAGACUACCC
RNAcentral lists this ribosomal RNA (468 nucleotides) under Pachira brevipes. RNAcentral describes it as "eukaryotic LSU rRNA". The stretch from base 53 to 208 matches the Rfam family "5.8S ribosomal RNA". The record is from RNAcentral. Lineage: Eukaryota; Viridiplantae; Streptophyta; Magnoliopsida; Malvales; Malvaceae.